This 209-nucleotide long non-coding RNA is filed under the name Elaeis guineensis (African oil palm). RNAcentral describes it as "long non-coding RNA (EGUI_LNC016928)". Lineage: Eukaryota; Viridiplantae; Streptophyta; Magnoliopsida; Arecales; Arecaceae. The record is from RNAcentral.
UCCUAAAAGAAGAAAAAGUCUCAAAGUCAAUCCUCAUAUCCUAAGAAUUUUUAUUUACUUGAUUUUGCUAGCACUUGGAGUGCAAGAGGGGAGAGAACAACUAUCAGUUUACGUCCUGUUGAUGCAUUAAACCAGCUUCAAGAUAUAUGACAUCAUCAUACAAAAUUAAAAAGAUGUCAAUUUGAAAGUGCUAGGUCCUAGCUGACCAA